This 301-nucleotide ribosomal RNA is filed under the name uncultured bacterium. RNAcentral describes it as "partial 16S ribosomal RNA". It matches the Rfam family "Bacterial small subunit ribosomal RNA", at positions 509 to 809 of the family's 1533-position model. The record is from RNAcentral.
CAGUCGCCACGGUAACACGUAGGUGGCGAGCGUUGUCCGGAAUUAUUGGGCGUAAAGGGAGCGCAGGCGGACAUAUAAGUCCAUCUUAAAAGUGCGGGGCUCAACCCCGUGAGGGGAUGGAAACUGUAUGCCUUGAGUGCAGGAGAGGAAAGCGGAAUUCCCAGUGUAGCGGUGAAAUGCGUAGAUAUUGGGAGGAACACCAGUGGCGAAGGCGGCUUUCUGGACUGCAACUGACGCUGAGGCUCGAAAGCCAGGGGAGCGAACGGGAUUAGAUACCCCCGUAGUCCCUGUCUCUUAUACA